This 253-nucleotide ribosomal RNA is filed under the name uncultured bacterium. Its description in RNAcentral is "partial 16S ribosomal RNA". It matches the Rfam family "Bacterial small subunit ribosomal RNA", at positions 524 to 776 of the family's 1533-position model. The record is from RNAcentral.
CACGUAGGGCGCAAGCGUUGUCCGGAAUUAUUGGGCGUAAAGAGCUCGUAGGUGGUUUGUUACGUCCGCUGUGUAAUCCUAGGGCUUAACCCUGGGCUUGCAGUGGAUACGGGCAGACUAGAGGUAGGUAGGGGAGAAUGGAAUUCCUGGUGUAGCGGUGAAAUGCGCAGAUAUCAGGAGGAACACCGGUGGCGAAGGCGGUUCUCUGGGCCUUACCUGACACUGAGGAGCGAAAGCGUGGGGAGCGAACAGG